CUAAGUGGAGGCUGUUGAGAGGGGCUUGGGCCCCAGUGUGGGUGAGCUGUUGCUUCUCGUGAAGAUCCAUGUGACGAGGUCCCCAGGAAACAGCAGCGAAUGGGGAUUGGGGCAGAAGUCACGAGAGGAGGGGGUUGGCCAUGUCUCCAGUCUUGAAUCCUCGUCAAGAGGACACCAAGGGGCCACGGCUGUGUGUCCUGAGGACCAGCCAGGGGGACACUGCCACCCUCCCCUGCCCCCAGCCCUGGCACCGAGCCAAGGAGCGGGCUUCGAUGUAUGGCAGGUUUGUGCUCUGUGGCUGGGUGCCCGGAGGGGCUGGCCCGAGGAACGGAAAUAGCUGGGUUUGGGGAAGUCGCGUGGCUUGGCCAAGCCAAGCCAGCCCGCAAUGUGCUGGGCAGCCCUUGCUGCGGCCCUAUCAAUGCCCCAUUUGAGGCUCACACAGGAGUCCUUUGACAGGGCUGGCUUUGCACCCACUGAGAGGGCCUAUUUGAGCUGGAUGCUCGGAAAGGGUUGGGCUGGGCAGGUGAGGGCUGCCGGGACCGUCUCGCCCUUCGAGGGAAGGAGAGUUGGCCAAAUCGAGCCCAGGUCACCAAGCCAGAGCACCUCAGUUCCCCAGGACUGUGAUGGUAGCAGGAACGGUCCCCCAUAAUUGAGUGGACCCUGCAUGCAUCCUCUCUGUGCCCCACGCUGUAGGCGCUGUGUGAUGAUUAUUCCUGAGGCUCAGUGUGGGCAAGCCUCUUGCCUAUAGUCACGAUCCAUUGAGGGGCAGAGCUGGGGUUGACUCUAACAGGCCUGACUGGAGCCUGAGCUUGUCCCUCUGGUCCUCUCUGGCCCACCUUGUGCACCUCACAAGGCGAACAGAGUGAGGGCAUCAUUCGAGAACCUUGGAAAGCCCUUAAGAUAGGGCCUGAGUUGUAACCGUUGCUGUGUGCCUGGUGGGAGGACAGGCCCGGCUCAGAGCCUGGAACUGCUUGUGAUGGAGGACGGCAUCCACUGUGGGUCCUAGACCAAGGCUGACUGGGAAGUGGUGCAGGCGAGGCAUGCUGGGGGCGUGAACUCAGCAGAGGCCAUGCGGCAGGGACUCAGGAGGCAUUUGGGAAGAAGGACCUGCAGGGCCUGGACAUCAAAGUGAGGGAAAGGGAAGGUCCAGGCUGGCGCCCAGGUUUGGAGAGCAUUUGGGAUGGUGGUGCCCAGGUUUGGAGAGCAUUUGGGAUGGUGGUGCCCAGCUCUGAGCCGAGGACACAGGACACGGGAUGGAAGAGGGUGUGCUGAGUUUUGGGGGUGUUGCAUUUGAGCUAGCUCGGGGGGACACAGGACGGGAAGGGCUGUGGAGCUCAGGACGCAGCUGUGUCUAUAGGUCUGGAGGUCAGGAGAGAGAGGAGGAAGGUGGUUGGGAUAUGAGUGUCAUCUGUGGAUGUGUGGGUGAGAUGUCCUGUGGGUGGGACGUCAGCCAGGUUCCUGGAGGUGCUAACCCUGUUGCGAUGGGCAGCAGGCUGGCAGGGCCGGCCGGCCACAGGGAGCCACAGCCCGAAAUAAAUAGUCUCUCUGGGAAAGUUCUGCUGUCACCUCAGAGGCCCAGGUGGUCCAGGAGGACCCUGGCCUUGCAGCUUCCUCUGCUCCAUACGCCGGGGGACCGUCCAGGCAGGGGGACAGCACGGGCAAAGGUCUGGAGAUGCGACCACAUGGCAGAGGGACACUCCAGCCUGGGUGCCGCCGUCUUACCUCUGACAGCUCACAACGUGCAACGCUCUUUUAAGCGGCAGCAGCAGCAAGAAUCCUGAAAAUCUGCAGACCUGGUCUGUGUGGCUCCAGAGUUUUGAAGCUGAAGGAUGAAACGGGUGAGCUGACCACUGUUGACACAUCUUCAUCUGCUCUUCUCAGCUCUCCAGAGGCUCAGUUCGGAGGCUGGCUGGAGGAUUAUAUUAAAUUCAGGGCUCAGAUCUUUGAGAGGGAAGGAGACAAAUCGAAAUGCCACUGGGGGCUGGAACCGGGCUGGUAAGGGGCUGAAACCCGUGUGUCAUAAAGGAUGGUUGUAGGAAGCGAGGAUGUUUUCAUAAGGGAAGAGUGGACUCAGUGGGGGCGUGACCACGAUCUUCCGGUCGCUGAGCACGGAUCACCAGGAGACCUGCUCGCUCUCAGAGCCAGAUGGAACCCUCGGGGGGUCAGAGGGCUCCCCGUCCGAGAGGCGCUCUGCCAUAGGCUGGACAGCAGCUUUCCCGAGACAGGAGAGAACUUGUGCUGCUUCUGGAAGGUUGGAUGUGACCGGUGGUUGAGUUACAUCAGAGCCACCUAGAGAGCUUAGAAACACGGAUCCACCAGCUCUGGGGUGGAGCCUGGGAAUCUGCAUUUUUCUUUGGAAAAACCUAAAACCAAACUUUGUCGACAAUUUAGAGAUAACUGAAGGAAGUACAAAAUAAGGAAUAACUUGCAAACACAUCAAGGUGAGGCGUCUGCUCAGAGCCCGCAGCUCCCAGCUGGCUCCGGGGUCCUGUUCGGACCCUCCCUUCCUCGCCCUCACCUGCCCUGCCUGUCAGGGGCCUGCUCUCCCCGACCCCCGGGAGGGCCCCAAACACGUCCUGGUCUUGGACCCCCACCCUUGUGAAAGCUUUGCCUUAGCUUCGCCUAAGUUGCCCCCAAAAUAGACCCUGAGACAGAGACUUGCACAGGAAGUUUCUCUGGGGAGGUGGUCUCAGGAAACACAGAGGUCCCGGGAAAGAGGGGAAGUGAGACAGGGAAGGGAUAAAAGCCAGUAAAAAAUGCAUAAAUAAAAGGGUCACCUCUGUGGGGCUCACUGCUGCUUGAUCCCCUGCUGCCCUCCUCACUGUCAGUGUGCAGCUGUAGGGAAAGCCACAGGUGGGCUGCAGGGCCAUGGGGCGGGUCCGCUAGGGUUCCCAGCGCUAAACCCAGGCCUGCCCCCUGCCGCCCCCCAGUGCCCACUCCCUCUUCCAGCGUGAUUGACACUGGGAGCCACUCCCCAGGGAAAGCUCCACCAGCUGCCCCUGGGGGCGUGGGCUCACCCUCUGGCCCCAAGGACGCAUCCAACGCGGUGGCCUCUGUAUUUUUAACACCCUCUCCAGGUGAGCACAAGGGGUGGCCACGCUGGAUUUCCUGGUCUAGAUGACCUUUGAGUUUCCUGCAGAGCCUGACAUUCAAGGUUUCAUGUUUCCCCUAAAACAAGAAGGUGCUGGAGAAACAAUAAACACGGAUGCAGCAUUCAAUACACCUCAUCCUCCUCCAUCCUGUGAUAUUGGCGUUGAGAUCCCGACUUUACAGACACGGGACAGGACAGCAGCCAAGUGAAGGAUUCACCUGAAGUCAGCUGGCAGGUGACAGAAGAGGGACUCAAACUCCGCUCUGUCUGGUUCCGGGGGUUUUUCAUUUCACGAGUUUCCUCCCUGUCUGCAUGCAAGCCCCUGGUGGAAUGCGAGCUAAUUUUGGGGGGGGGGGGUAUGUGGAUGAAAAAGUUAAAUUUAAUUAACUUUGAAUUUAUUUGAAGGCACAUUGUAAUAAAUAUAUAAACUGUACAUCAAACCAGUGAUUUCACGGCUACUAUUUUGUAGGAGGAGGAGAAAUUUUUUCAAAAAGUGCGUUGAUUUAGAGUGAAUUGAAGAGAAGGAUUAACUUGAUAACAGUAAAGCUGUAGGUGGAUCCAGCAAAACCGUGAUGACGGUGGGCGAAGGAUGAAGGGGGCACCCGGCCCUAGACCAGGUGGCACCUCUCGUCCCAGGAGUGCGAGCUCACCAGGUCUGCUGUUGAGGAAAAGACUGGGCGGGGGGCGCAGGGGCGGGCGCUGUGCGCCUUCCGCUGAACCACGCUCUGCUCACGGCCCCUCACUUUAUCACAAACGCUCUCUC
This 3854-nucleotide long non-coding RNA is filed under the name Equus caballus (horse). RNAcentral's name for it is "lncRNA (ENSECAG00000047174.1)". The record is from RNAcentral. Lineage: Eukaryota; Metazoa; Chordata; Mammalia; Perissodactyla; Equidae.